GUCUGUCCACCAAUGGCACUGGUAGAAUUCACGGUUGCUAUGGAAACCCGUGGGUUUUCCGGUGCCAUACGUGGAUUGAU
RNAcentral lists this microRNA precursor (80 nucleotides) under Lingula anatina. RNAcentral describes it as "mir-263 microRNA precursor family". It matches the Rfam family "mir-263 microRNA precursor family". The record is from Rfam by way of RNAcentral. Lineage: Eukaryota; Metazoa; Brachiopoda; Lingulata; Lingulida; Lingulidae.